This 331-nucleotide unclassified non-coding RNA is filed under the name soil metagenome. Its description in RNAcentral is "partial contains 5.8S ribosomal RNA, internal transcribed spacer 2, and large subunit ribosomal RNA". The stretch from base 2 to 120 matches the Rfam family "5.8S ribosomal RNA", at positions 36 to 154 of the family's 154-position model. The record is from RNAcentral.
UAUGAAGAACGUAGCGAAAUGCGAUAAGUAAUGUGAAUUGCAGAAUUCAGUGAAUCAUCGAAUCUUUGAACGCACAUUGCGCCCCCUGGUAUUCCGGGGGGCAUGCCUGUUCGAGCGUCAUUUCACCACUCAAGCCUCGCUUGGUAUUGGGCAACGCGGUCCGCCGCGUGCCUCAAAUCGACCGGCUGGGUCUUUUGUCCCCUAAGCGUUGUGGAAACUAUUCGCUAAAGGGUGUUCGGGAGGCUACGCCGUAAAACAACCCCAUUUCUAAGGUUGACCUCGGAUCAGGUAGGGAUACCCGCUGAACUUAAGCAUAUCAAUAAGCGGAGGA